Molecule: non-coding RNA, 24 nt
Filed under: Arabidopsis thaliana (thale cress)
Lineage: Eukaryota; Viridiplantae; Streptophyta; Magnoliopsida; Brassicales; Brassicaceae
Source: RNAcentral
AAGGCCGCACAAACUCACCACGAC